Molecule: ribosomal RNA, 510 nt
Filed under: uncultured bacterium
Lineage: Bacteria
Description: partial 16S ribosomal RNA
Rfam family: Bacterial small subunit ribosomal RNA
Source: RNAcentral
GACGAACGCUGGCGGCGUGCUUAACACAUGCAAGUCGAACGAAGAGCGAUGGAAGCUUGCUUCUAUCAAUCUUAGUGGCGAACGGGUGAGUAACGCGUAAUCAACCUGCCCUUCAGAGGGGGACAACAGUUGGAAACGACUGCUAAUACCGCAUACGAUCUAAUCUCGGCAUCGAGGAUAGAUGAAAGGUGGCCUCUACAUGUAAGCUAUCACUGAAGGAGGGGAUUGCGUCUGAUUAGCUAGUUGGAGGGGUAACGGCCCACCAAGGCGAUGAUCAGUAGCCGGUCUGAGAGGAUGAACGGCCACAUUGGGACUGAGACACGGCCCAGACUCCUACGGGAGGCAGCAGUGGGGAAUCUUCCGCAAUGGACGAAAGUCUGACGGAGCAACGCCGCGUGAGGGAUGACGGCCUUCGGGUUGUAAAGCUCUGUUAAUCGGGACGAAAGGCCUUCUUGCGAAUAGUGAGAAGGAUUGACGGUACCGGAAGAGAAAGCCACGGCUAACUACGUG